CCGAAGACUAAGAGUCUUCUCAAGGUAU
This 28-nucleotide transfer RNA is filed under the name Ambystoma texanum (smallmouth salamander). Its description in RNAcentral is "partial tRNA-Thr". Lineage: Eukaryota; Metazoa; Chordata; Amphibia; Caudata; Ambystomatidae. The record is from RNAcentral.